RNAcentral lists this unclassified non-coding RNA (296 nucleotides) under uncultured fungus. Its description in RNAcentral is "sequence contains ITS1". The record is from RNAcentral. Lineage: Eukaryota; Fungi.
GUAUAGGUUUAAUGACUGCUUGCGCAAUCGUUAAAAGACAUUCUGUAACUUUAUAGUGUAUAUGAAAACAUAGUCUUUGAGAGCAAGAGAGAGAAAAGCAAGCAGAGGAAGGGCUCGCGCCCAGUCCCCCAAACCGCAUUGCUGCGAGAGGGUUCACUUUCACUUCUUGUUCAAAAAGACUACAAAAGGUGCACAAGAGAAGAUAAAUAGUAUGGAACGAGCACAUGCUCAGUAAAGAGCCAGCAUCAGAACCAACGUAUUCAAUAAUGAUCCUUCCGCAGGUUCACCUACGGAAA